UCAAGCUACAAAGAGCACAAGGGGAAUGCCUUGGCACCGAGAGCCGAAGAAGGACGUGACUAACUGCGAUAAGCUGCGGGGAGCCGUAAGUAGGCUUUGAUCCGCAGAUUUCCGAAUGGAGCAAUCCGGCAAGAGGAAAGUCUUGUCAUCAUAUACUGAAUACAUAGGUAUAUGAGGGGAACCGCCUGAACUGAAACAUCUAAGUAGGGCGAGGAAGAGAAAUCAACUGAGAUUCCGUAAGUAGUGGCGAGCGAACGCGGAAGAGGCCAAACCGAGAGUAGUAAUACUUUCGGGGUUCGGACAGAAAACGGUAUUGUAAAGGUUUAGUGGAAUGGAAUGGGAAGUCCAACCGAAGAAGGUGAGAGUCCUGUACACGAAAAGCCUGAACAGCCAUCUGUAUCCAGAGUACCGCCGGACACGUGAAACCCGGUGGGAAUACGGGGGGACCAUCCUCCAAGCCUAAAUACUACUCGGUGACCGAUAGUGAAGAAGUACUGUGAAGGAAAGGUGAAAAGUACCCCUGACGGGGAGUGAAAAAGAACCUGAAACCUUGUGUUUACAAGCACCGAAAGCUCAUCAAAGAGCGAUCGGGUACCUUUUGUAGAAUGGUCCGGCGAGUGAAUGUAACCGGCGAGGUUAAGCACUUAAGGUGUGAAGCCGCAGCGAGAGCAAGUCUGAAUAGGGCGUAUGAAGUCGGUUGUAUUCGACCCGAAACCGGGUGACCUACCCAUGGUCAGGUUGAAGUAAAGGUAAAACUUUAUGGAGGACCGAACCGACUCCCGUUGAAAUGGUAGCGGAUGAACUGUGGGUAGCGGAGAAAUUCCAAUCGAACCCGGAGAUAGCUGGUUCUCUCCGAAAUAGCUUUAGGGCUAGCCUUGAAAUAGAUUACCGGAGGUAAAGCACUGAAUUGGCUAGGGGCCGAGAGGUUACUGAACCUUAUCAAACUAAGAAUGCCGGAUAAUCGUUUUUCAGGAGUCAGACAGUGGGAGAUAAGUUUCAUUGUCAAAAGGGAAACAGCCCAGACCCACAGCUAAGGUCCCCAAGUAUAGUUAAGUGGAAAAGGAUGUGGAAUUGCACAGACAACCAGGAUGUUGGCUUAGAAGCAGCCACUCAUUAAAAGAGUGCGUAAUAGCUCACUGGUCGAGUGACUCUGCGCCGAAAAUUUAACGGGGCUAAACUAUACACCGAAGCUUGGGAUACAUCUAAUGUAUGGUAGGAGAGCGUUCUGUAUGGGGUGAAGUCGUAGCGAAAGCGGCGGUGGACUGUACAGAAGUGAGAAUGCCGGAAUAAGUAGCGAGAAUUAAGUGAGAAUCUUAAUGGCCGAAAGUCUAAGGUUUUUGGAGGAAGGUUCGUCCGCUCCAAGUAAGUCGGGAGCUAAGGUCAGGCCGAAAGGCGUAGCCGAUGCACAUACGGUUGAUAUUCCGUAACCAUCUGUAAUUUAAGCAAAGGGACACUUCAAAAGGGUGUGACCCGGGCGUUGGUUGACCCGGGCGUAAGGGACCGAAAUUAGAGUAGGGAAGCACACUUGGCUGAAGGCGAGAAAAGCUUUGCGUAUAGAAGCAGAUGCCCGUACCGCAAACCGACACAGGUGGACAGGAAGAGAAUUCUAAGGCCAGCGGGAGAAGGGUAGUUAAGGAACUCGGCAAAUUGACUCCGUAACUUCGGAAUAAGGAGUGCUCGAAAGAGCCGCAGAGAAUAGGCCCAGGCGACUGUUUAGCAAAAACACAGGUCUCUGCCAAAUCGAAAGAUGAAGUAUAGGGGCUGACACCUGCCCGGUGCCGGAAGGUUAAGAGGAGGAGUGAGAGCUCCGAAUUGAAGCCCCGGUAAACGGCGGCCGUAACUAUAACGGUCCUAAGGUAGCGAAAUUCCUUGUCGGGU
This 1878-nucleotide ribosomal RNA is filed under the name human gut metagenome. RNAcentral's name for it is "bacterial LSU rRNA". It matches the Rfam family "Bacterial large subunit ribosomal RNA", at positions 3 to 1977 of the family's 2925-position model. The record is from RNAcentral.